AUCGUCAUUUCCUCUUCCUGUCCGGCUGAGGGGGCGGGGACGUGUGGGUAAGCGGAGUCGCUGGGUAAUGCGCCAUGUGAGGCGCGGUGGGACUGUCGUUCCUGGACCAACGCCGAGACUUCCUAAAUCCCUCCGGAAAGGGAUGCGUUGGGCCUGUGAUCUGGCGACUAGGAGGGUCAGGAGUCCCAGUAGAGGGAAUCACGGGAAAAGAAUGAAAGAGGGAGGCGAGCCUGGCACGGCUUCCUGGAGAAACAAACUAAGCUAACAAAUUUUUCGGAUCCUUUGUGCAGCUAAUUUUACAGUACUGUUUCAUACAUCUUAUUAUAUUUGGACAUCACGGCCUGUUGAGUGGUCUCCCUCUCUGCUGCAAGCUCUGCUGUAAUCCAGAGACACUCAAUUAUCUCUGUAGGAUAAUUUAUUCAUUCGAUUAACAUACAUUACUACUAACUUUUUAUAAACCAGUACUGUUCCAAGCACCGGAGAUACAUAGCUAUGAACGAAACAAAUAUCCCUGCUCAGGGAAUUCACAAUAGAGUGAGGGGAAAUAAGCGAAUAAACAAUGAAUCUCUUGUUCUGAGGGAAGCCAUGUACAUCAUUAGCAGUUCUAUAAAGAGGAUCACAUGGCAAGAAACUGAAACAUUCUGCCAGCUGCCCUGUGAAAGAACUUGGAAGUAGACCCUCCAGCCCUAAUCAAGUCUUCAGAGACUGUACUCAGCCAACAAUUGACUGCAACCUCAUAAGAGACCCUGAGCCAGACCGCCCAACGAGAAACUGUACUAUGGAAAUUAUGUUAGACAAAAAACAAAUGCAAGCAGUUUUCUUAUUCGAGUUCAAAAUGGGCUGCAAAGCAGCAGAGACAACUUGCAACAUCAAGAGUGCAUUUGGCCCAGGAACUGCUAAUGAACGUACAGUGCAGUGGUGGUUCAAGAAGUUUUGCAAAGGAUGGCCAGGCGCAGCAGCUCACACCUAUAAUCCCAGCACUUUGGGAGGCCAAGGCAUCCGGAUCACUUGAAGUCAGGAGUUCGAGGCCAGCCAGGCCAACAUGGUGAAACCCCAUCUCUACUAAAAAUAAAAAAAUUAGCUGGGCAUGGUGGCAUGCACCUGUAAUCCCAGCUACUCGGGAGGCUGAGGUGGGAGAAGCGCUUGAACCCAGGAGGCAGAGGUUGCAGUGAGCUGAGAUUGUGCCACUGCACUCCAGUGACAGAACAAGACUCCGUCUCAAUUUAAAAAGAAAGAAAGAAAGAAAGAAAGUUUUGCAAAGGAGCUGAGAGCCUUGAAGAUGAUGAGCAUAGUGACCGGCCAUGGGAAGUUGACAAUGACCAAUUGAGAGCAAUCAUUGAAGCUGAUCCUCUUAUAGCUACAUGAGAAGUUGCCUAAGAACUCAAUGUUGACCAUUCUAUCGUCACUCAGCAUUUGAAGCAAAUUGGAAAGGUAAAAAAGCUCGAUAAGUGGAUGCCUCAUGAGCCAACUGAAAAUAAAAAAAAUAUAUCGUUUUGAAGUGUUGUCUUCUCUUGUUCUACACAACAAUGAACCAUUUCUCGAUUGGAUUGAGAUGUGCUAUGAAAAGUAGAUUUUAUACAACAGCUGGCAAUGACCAGCUCAAUGGUUGGGCCCAGAAGAAGCUCCACAGCACUUCCCAAAGCACCAAAAACAGGUCAUGGUCACCGUUUGGUGGUCUGCUGCCAGUCUGAUCCACUACGGCUUUCCGAAUCCCAGUGAAACCAUUACAUCUGAGAAGUAUGCUUAGCAAAUCAAUGAGGCACUGAAAAGUGCAACACCUGCAGCUGACAGUGGUCAACAGAAAGGACCCAAUUCUUCUCCACAGCAACUACAAUGCCCGACUGCAUGUCGCACAACCAACCCUUCAAAAGUUGAACAAAUUGAUCUAUGAAGUUUUGCCUCAUCCACCAUAUUCAUCUGACCUGUGGCCAACCAACUACCACUUCUUCAAGCAUCUCAACAACUUUUUGCAGAGAAAACACUUCUACAACCAGCAGGAUGCAGAAAAUACUUUUUAAGAGUUUGGCGAAUCUGGAAGCACAGCUUCUUACACUACAGGAAUAAACGAACUUAUUUCUCAUUGGCAAAAAGGUGUUGAUUGUAAUGGUUCCUAUUUUGAUUAAUAAAAAU
Molecule: long non-coding RNA, 2130 nt
Organism: Homo sapiens (human)
Lineage: Eukaryota; Metazoa; Chordata; Mammalia; Primates; Hominidae
Gene: CCDC15-DT
Product: CCDC15 divergent transcript
Source: Ensembl